This is an RNA transcript of Mastomys coucha (southern multimammate mouse), 2711 nucleotides long. RefSeq lists it as uncharacterized. The transcript has 9 exons. NCBI's taxonomy places the organism in Eukaryota, Metazoa, Chordata, Mammalia, Rodentia, Muridae. The record is from RefSeq and is a predicted model, not a curated record.
AGGGCGCAUGCGCGGGCGUGAAGGGGGAGCAGGAGAGGCCCGCGGUGUCUUCCGGGGGGGAGGGGUGGCGAGGCGAGGCGCGGCCUGGCGGCCGUGCACGCGCUCUGCUGGGCACGUGGGGCCCCUUCGUCCCCGGCGUCCGGGCGCCUCGUACCAGCCCCCACCUUGGCCUCCGUCCGGUGGCUGCGUCCGCUACGCAGAAAGACUGGAGAGUCACCCAGCCCACCGAGUGACGCUCGGGCUUGUUGAGCAAGACAAACCUAGAGAGAUGAAGUGACUGACCCAAGGUUACACAGAAUGGAAUCUUUAUCUUCUGAUGUCCCUACUGUAAACCUUGUAUUGAAAGAAAACGAAGAAAUGAAGUUCUAGAAUCAAAUCCAAACUGCUCAGGGAACUGAAACCUAGGGUUUCUCAGGAUGAUCAUAUUUUAGAGUUGGAAGAACCUUGGAAGUGUUUUAACAGGGUUUCCUUUCCCUGACCUGCUGCCCACUCCCACCACAGACAGGUGGUAACAUGGUUGCUAACACCUAACACCAUGCUUCAGAAUGUGAUUGCUUAACCUUGGGUGCCAUCUUUAGGAUACGUGUCACUCGACACGUGCAGAUAGCACAGGAGGUGCAUGCUUCAGCCCAGUACCGCUGCGUGAGUUCACCUUGCAGCUCGUACUCUCUAAUUUUGGGGAGGGAGAAAUGAAGACUGAACGAGCUUCAUGUGAAGUACUCAAGGCAUCCUCCCCCAGGCUUUUCCAAACUUUUCUCACGAGUGUCAGAAGAAAGAGCAUUCCCCCUGGAAAACCAGGCUGCUCAGAGUCACUGGACCAAACGAGGAGGCUGGAGAGAGUCUUACCAGCAACCUAGACUUUAGACAAGUCUUUCCUGACCAAAGAAAGCCAGUACCAGUUCAGAUGCCACAAAGGAAGGUCGUGGUCACACCCUUCUGUCCCUGUGAGUUACACAGAAGCCCAGAAUGCUGGCCAAAGACCCAGAGCAGCAGCCUUCCCAGCUACGGCACUCUGGGCGAAGGGCAUGAGAAGACCAGGAAGCUCUUGGGACCUGAAGACUGCUGUAACAAAGACUACUUUAAGGAGUCAUCACUGCUCCCGUCUCUUACUGUGGCACCGGAAGAGGCCCCCAGGGAUGGAAGUUUUGAACUCACUAGGUGAUUAUGGUUGUUGAGUCUGCCUGGAGCCCACACAGAAAGCUUCUCACUCGGGAUUAGCAUUGCUUUGAAGAAGAUGGACACCAAGCAGGUUUGCUGGGGUUAAAGAGAUACUGAAGGUCUUGGCACUCAUUCCAAACAGCUUUGGGGACCCACUGCAUCAUCGGUCACUGUCCCUGGUCCUGAGCAGCCUUUGCAAUCCUUGUAGGUGUUUACUUCUCUGACACCUCAUUUUUAGCCAUGCUGUCACCAAAGGCUCACUCUGUUAAGACCCAACAGACAUCUGGUGAGACCAGACUUUAAUUCUUGAGGGUUUUUGUGUUUUUUUUUGUUGUGGUUUGUUUGUUUGUUUGUUUUGAGACAGAAUCUCAAAAAAUGUACCUUGAAUCUCUUGGAUGAUGGGAUUCCAGGCAUACAAGAGAUGAGUCUGGGGAAUGACCGAGAAACACCACAGGUUAGGCAUCAGGACCCCACCUGUCUGCUGCAAUUCCUCCAGCUGAAGUGUCUGGAGGGAGUGGGGAGAGGGCAGGACUCAGGGACAGGUGGCUCAGCUAGAGUUACUCUGUCUUCAAAGGGAAGGUGGUUGGGUCAGGGGACUGCUGUAGAGGGGAUGAGGAGGACAGGAGGGAGGGUCGGAUCAGGGGACUGCUGUAGAGGGAUGAGAAGAGGAGGGAGAGUCGGAUCGGGGGCUGCUGUAGAGGGGAUGAGGAAGACCCUGUGGGCAGUGCUUCUUUACUGCUCUCUAGCUCUGUCUCUCACUAACUUAGAGAGCCAACCCCAAAGAACAUCAGAAAGAAAGAAAAUCUACGUGGUCUAGAAACAUAAGAAAAUAUGUUAUUAGCAAAUAAGCAAAUGAAUCUUCUAAUACCCAACCUCUAGGCUUGAGAGGAGAAAAAAGGCUUGAAGAGGUCUUAGUCCUGAUGCCCCGCAGAGGGACCCCUGGGCACAGAUAGCGGGCUCUCUUCCAGCCCAUCCUCUUCUGUACAGGUGUGAACUAAUGCUUUCCCCUGUCAGGCAAGGUUCCUGCCCCACCUCACUGUCACGACAGGUACCAAAUGUGAGGUGCUAAGGUGUCUGACCUCUUACUCAGACCUCCCCUGCCUUUCCCUUAGCCAGCAGCUGGCAGGGGCUUCGCUUACUAGGUGUAGGCUUCUGGAGUCUCUCUGUGCCUUCUGCUUCACCUCUUCCUCAUCUGUGUUGUUUAGGAUUUUAUGAUUCUGUAUUCUGUGAGCAGUGAAUAGGAGGAUAGGUGUGUUGGAAAUACCCCAGGAACCUGGGACAGGAAAGGAAGGUCUCCAUCAGUGGGCGUCACAUGUCUGGUUGCAGGACCACCCUUCAUAGUUUUAUUGGGGUACAACCAACAUACAGCAAACACUGUGUACUUAAUGUGUGCAGCCACAGUCCUGUCCUGCCGUCUCCAUAAUCUAAAGAUACCAUAUGUACUCAGCACACCACAAAAUGCCAAGUUCUUUCUGUUUGGCGGGCCAGAAACUUCAGGUGAUAGGCAUCCUCUGCAUGUAUUUUAAAGUGCACAAUACUGUUCUGUGAGUUCU